RNAcentral lists this unclassified non-coding RNA (308 nucleotides) under Hevea brasiliensis (rubber tree). Lineage: Eukaryota; Viridiplantae; Streptophyta; Magnoliopsida; Malpighiales; Euphorbiaceae. The record is from RNAcentral.
AAAAAUAAAAGCUCACAUGCCUGGCGGUUGCAGCAUCAGAGCUCUGUGGAUCCUUAACAAUCUCGAAGGCGUCGUUUUCUCCAGGAGGUUUCCGGUGGUGGAGAAGCAGUGGCGGGCUGCUUGCAAGANNNNGCUCAAACGAGGAUCCGGUUAAGUACACUGUUCCACCAUUUCUUCCAAAUGAUUCAGAGAUAGCUGCUGCAUUUGUGGGGAGGAAGAAAAGUGAGGGUUCAACACGUGGGUAUGGCAUAAGGGUGACUCAUUCAGAUAAAAGGUCGGACUCCUGGGUUGAUGACCCUAUUACGCGU